This 391-nucleotide ribosomal RNA is filed under the name uncultured euryarchaeote. Its description in RNAcentral is "bacterial SSU rRNA". It matches the Rfam family "Archaeal small subunit ribosomal RNA", at positions 339 to 727 of the family's 1478-position model. The record is from RNAcentral. Lineage: Archaea; Methanobacteriati; Methanobacteriota.
UCGGGGAACUUUUCCAAUGCGCGCAAGCGUGAGAAAGUAAGUCAGAGUGAUUUUGAUAUAAUUUCAAAAUCUUUUGUUCGUUGCAAAAAGACGGACGAAUAAGGAGUGGGCAAGAUCGGUGCCAGCCGCCGCGGUAAUCCCGACGCUCCAAGUCGCAGCCACAAUUAUUGGGUCUAAAACAUUCGUAGCUCGUUUUCUAAGUUCUUUGUGAAAUCUGAAAUCUUAAGUUUCAGGCGCGCAAGGAAUACUGGUAAACUUGAGACCGGAGGAAGUAAGGAGUACGAUCGAGGUAGUAGUAAAAUAUGUUAAUCUUGAUUGGACUAACAACAGCGAAGGCACCUUACUAAUACGGAUCUGACAGUGAGGAAUGAAGGCUAGGGUCGCGAAACGG